AGCCCGCUCAGAAACUCAAAGGAAUUGACGGGGGCCCGCACAAGCGGUGGAGCAUGUGGUUUAAUUCGAUGAUACGCGAGGAACCUUACCUGGGCUCAAAUGUAUGUUGACGUAUUCUGAAAGGGAUACUUCUUCGGACAAUAUACAAGGUGCUGCAUGGUUGUCGUCAGCUCGUGCCGUGAGGUGUCGGGUUAAGUCCCAUAACGAGCGCAACCCCUACCUUUAGUUGCCAUCAGGUUAAGCUGGGGACUCUAAAGGAACUGCCUACGCAAGUAGUGAGGAAGGCGGGGAUGACGUCAAAUCAGCACGGCCCUUACGUCCAGGGCUACACACGUGCUACAAUGGCCGAUACAGAGGGCAGCUACCUGGUGACAGGAUGCAAAUCUCCAAAGUCGGUCUCAGUUCGGAUCGGAGUCUGCAACCCGACUCCGUGAAGUUGGAUUCGCUAGUAAUCGCGCAUCAGCCAUGGCGCGGUGAAUACGUUCCCGGGCCUU
This 494-nucleotide ribosomal RNA is filed under the name uncultured Sphingobacteriales bacterium. Its description in RNAcentral is "bacterial SSU rRNA". It matches the Rfam family "Bacterial small subunit ribosomal RNA", at positions 886 to 1382 of the family's 1533-position model. Lineage: Bacteria; Pseudomonadati; Bacteroidota; Sphingobacteriia; Sphingobacteriales. The record is from RNAcentral.